This 31-nucleotide non-coding RNA is filed under the name Homo sapiens (human). The record is from RNAcentral. Lineage: Eukaryota; Metazoa; Chordata; Mammalia; Primates; Hominidae.
UCCUGGCAUGGAACUGACACAUAGUUGGCAC